UACCAGCUCUCCGAGUGGUAGGGAUGAUUAUUGGGCUUAAAGCGUCCGUAGCCGGCUUAGCAAGUCUCCUGUUAAAUUCAGCGACCUAAUCGUUGAGCCGCGGGAGAUACUACUAGGCUAGGAGGCGGGAGAGGUCAACGGUACUUCCGGGGUAGGGGUGAAAUCCUAUAAUCCCGGGAGGACCACCAGUGGCGAAGGCUGUUGACUAGAACGCGCUCGACGGUGAGGGACGAAAGCUGGGGGGAGCGAACCGGAUUAGAUACCCGGGUAGUCCCAGCUGUAAACGAUGCGAGCUAGGUGUUGGGGUGGCUACGUGCCACUUCAGUGCCGCAGGGAAGCCAUUAAGCUCGCCGCCUGGGGAGUACGGCCGCAAGGCUGAAACUUAAGGAAUUGGCGGGGAGCACCACAAGGCGUGAAGCUUGCGGUUC
This 428-nucleotide ribosomal RNA is filed under the name uncultured archaeon. RNAcentral describes it as "bacterial SSU rRNA". It matches the Rfam family "Archaeal small subunit ribosomal RNA", at positions 474 to 903 of the family's 1478-position model. The record is from RNAcentral.